UAUAAUCCCGUAUGUCAUUCCCUUUGUCCUUCGGUAUGUUACUUGCCCGAGAUUCGAUCGUCAGUAUCCGCAUACCUAUUUCAAUCUCGUUUACAGGCAAGUCUCUUUACUCGUUUCGUAAUAGAAGAUCCCGCAACUUACACUAAGUCACAUUGCUUGCAAGGCUUGUGUGUGAUGUUGUAUUACCGAGUGGGCCCCGAGAUACCUCUCCGUCACACGGAGUGACAAAUCCCAGUCUCGAUCCAUACUAACUCAACGAACACCUUCGAAGAUACCUGUAGAGCAUCUUUAUAGUCACCCAGUUACGUUGCGACAUUUGAUACACACAAAGUAUUCCUCCGGUGUCAGUGAGUUAUAUGAUCUCAUGGUCAUAGGAACAAAUACUU
This 386-nucleotide long non-coding RNA is filed under the name Hordeum vulgare. Its description in RNAcentral is "long non-coding RNA (HVUL_LNC003024)". The record is from RNAcentral. Lineage: Eukaryota; Viridiplantae; Streptophyta; Magnoliopsida; Poales; Poaceae.